UUAUUGAAAAACUAGAGAAAAUCUCUAUGUUAAGAACAACUUUAAUGAAGUCAAAAUUCCUAUUCAAGGAUGUGUUAAUGAUUUAACAGUGCAUCCUUGUGUUAAAGGAUCCUGAAAUUAUGUAAUUAUGACAUUGCGUCUAUGUAAUCUAUGAUAUUAAGGUGUGGAUCAAGUUUUUAAAUUGUGUGUGUAUUCUAAUGACAAUUUGCUUACAUCAUUUUAAAAAAUGUGUAUAUAUUAUUUUAUUUAGGAUCUGAAGUUUAUUUAGGACAAUGUUCUAAAGUUUAGUCACAGCUUAAAAAUAUUCGGUGAGGUUCCCUGCCUUAAUUUUCCCAACUGUAGAAUGGAUCAGUAGUAAAGUGUGCAUGCAUUAUAGACUAUGUAACUCAUGUAUGUGAUUUGAACUCCUUGGGAAAUUGUGAUUUCAUAAAUGGAAAAUACAUACAGAUUUAAGCAAUACUUAUAAAACUUUCUUAAAAAGUAUGUUUACAUAUCAUCUAUGUGCAUGGUUUUACUACUUUUCCUAAAAGCAUACCAUAUAUUUCUGUAUAUUUGAUAAAUAUUUCCCUUUUUAAGUUGCAUCUUUAGACUAUUUCAUAAGUGUACAUUUAUAUCUUCAUACAUGAACGAAUAUGUACAUAUCAUUGAAAUGGGUAUAAGCUUCCUGUUGUGAAAGUUUUUAGAAUUAUAAAUCCACAUGUGUUGUCAGAUUUCUUCUGUAUAUCUUCUUUGAAUUCUCUGAAAGAAUAAAAUCUUU
RNAcentral lists this long non-coding RNA (757 nucleotides) under Bos taurus (domestic cattle). RNAcentral's name for it is "long non-coding RNA NONBTAT005844". The record is from RNAcentral. Lineage: Eukaryota; Metazoa; Chordata; Mammalia; Artiodactyla; Bovidae.